Cavia porcellus (domestic guinea pig) is the source of this 1990-nucleotide long non-coding RNA. RefSeq lists it as uncharacterized. The transcript has 2 exons. Lineage: Eukaryota; Metazoa; Chordata; Mammalia; Rodentia; Caviidae. The record is from RefSeq and is a predicted model, not a curated record.
CUGAGAGAGAGGGAGGAUUCAUGUAUUUAGUAAAUCAUUUUUCAGCGCCUAUUUUGUAGCAAGCUCUCUCUUAGAUAACAGGUAAACAGUGAGAGAAUGGGGAAGAACAAGGAAAGGCAAUACAGCGAUUUAUAAGCAAUUCCAACCCUCAGUUUUGGAGAUUAUGACUGCUGAACUACUAUUUAAAAAUGAAAAAGAGCACUUCGAGCUCAGCUUCCCCUAGCAGUUGGUAGUCCUGUCCUCCCUGCAGGGGUUAAGGGGAGAGAAUGGGCGUCUAUGGACAGAGUUACUGGGCUGUGCGAGACAAGUGGUGUGGGAGACAUCCUUCAGUACAUUCACAAUGGUGUCACUGCCCUGGAGAUGAGGACACACUGUUACAGUUCAGCUCUCAGAUCGUCUCUCAAAUUCAGAGGUGCCAAAAGAUCAAGAGUCCAAAAUUGGGAUCUUACUGGUCUUUCCGAGACAAAGAAGCAUUUGAAAGCAGGGCCUGUGCACCCCCUUGUGUCACCUGGAUGGAAUGAGCUGCCUGAAUUCCUUCCCUGCGUAAAGACCUUCCAAAGCUGAGGAGGAUUUGGGUUUUGUACAAGACACUGUGGUGAAAAUCAAGACAUAUACAAAGUGAUUUAUCAAUUGUCUUCAUAUCCGCUGUGCACUUUGCUUUCAUACCUGUAGGGAAUUUUUAUAUUGUGAAGAGAUCUUGACUUUUGAGUGGGUAAUUAGGUAAGAUUCUUUUUUUAUUCUGGUCAGUCUUCACUAUAGUAUCAUUUUGUAUAACUAAGAGAGUUUUGGCUGCAACAAACUCAUUGAAGAAAAUUCAGAAAAGUGCAUAAUAAUAAAGAGAUAAUUGUUAACAGUGGAUACACUUUUUCUGGUAAUUUCUCUGCAUAUAUAAGCACAUACAUUAUUGUAUAAAUCACAUAGUGGAUGCUAUAUUAUUUUAGGGGUUAUCUUCUUGCUUUUAAAUAUUUGACAUUUUACUGUACGAAAGACAAAUUACAAAUCUUUCAUUCUCACCACAAAUCUCUAGUACUUUAUAAUGAGAGGUAAACUCUUGAUAAAUGCUAAUUAAACUACUGAAUCUCACUAUAUUGUACUGUUUUCAUAAUCAUUUCCCUGCUAUUUGCCUUCUAGUUUGUUCACUGCUGUUAUCACUUAGGGAUCAGCUUCUCUGUGGGUAAAUAUUUUUCCACCUUUCUGCAUAGGAGCUUUGUCAAAUGCAGUGAUUAGCUCAAAGGGAAUAAGGAGCAUAUUGAGUCGCCAGACUGCUUUCCAGCAUAUGCGGACAUCAGCCGGCCUGUGGUAGACGGCACACCUACAAUACAGCUGAACUAUAUUCCAAUCCUUGUCCUUUGACACCACUCUGCUGCCUCUCUAUUAGUCUGGUUAAAUAUGUGGUUGAACAGUGAUAAUCUGAAGAUUUCCAUUAAUUAAUUCUGAUCUACCAAGUCUGUAAUUCUAGCACAAAAAGAAAAGGCUAGUUUAGUAGGGCUUUAACCUUAAACCUUACAAGGCCACUCUAACUCAUGACAACAGAGCCACCAUUAGCACAGAUGAUGCCUUUGCAUGAAGUAGAAAAAGAUGACUGUUCUCCAAGACAUUUUAAUGACCCAGGUAAGAAAAUUAUUCUGAUAAAUUCAUCUAUGAAUAUAGAGGUGUGAACUGCACACUCUGUAGUCAUAAUGCACAAAGCCUGAGUGACUGUAUUUUCUAAGCCCCGAGCAUCCUCUAUUCAAUCCAGCAUGGAGCUGUGUGAGGAUACAGUAUCAGGCUAGGUAAACUGUGUUUUCUAGAAGCCCCUUUUUGAAAAUUGUAGCAGCCUUCAUCUUUCUGUUAUUCCGGCUAUUCUCCAGGGUCCCUUUAAUUUUUUCUUACUAAUGUUUUCAUUGUUCUGAAAUCUUGUGUACAAUUUCUACUCUGGGAUUAUACAUCUUGUCUGAGAGUGAUGGUGGAAAAUAGUCAUUUUAUAAUAAAAUUAUUUCUCUUCAAAAUA